Molecule: ribosomal RNA, 253 nt
Filed under: uncultured bacterium
Lineage: Bacteria
Description: partial 16S ribosomal RNA
Rfam family: Bacterial small subunit ribosomal RNA
Source: RNAcentral
UACGGAGGGGGCUAGCGUUGUUCGGAAUCAUUGGGCGUAAAGGGCGCGUAGGCGGCCGAUCAAGUCGGAGGUGAAAUCCCUCGGCUCAACUGAGGAAUUGCCUUCGAUACUGUUCGGCUUGAGUCCUGGAGAGGGUAGCGGAAUUCCCGGUGUAGCGGUGAAAUGCGUAGAGACCGGGAAGAACACCAGUGGCGAAGGCGGCUACCUGGACAGGUACUGACGCUGAAGCGCGGAAGCUAGGGGAGCAAACAGG